AUGACAUUGAUUUCUGAGUCAUGCCAAAAUCCGCAAAUUAAACCCAGCUUUCGUUUUGAGCUCUUUAUCUUUGCACUUCAGACUUUUUGUACAUGUUGUAAUGUUCAGAAGUGUGCUACACUUACUUUCUGUUUCAAACCAAAAGCGGAUGUUUCCUCUUGGCAAUCGGCACACAAGUUUCCUUUAGCUGCAGGAAGCAAAGGCAGCUGUAGAAGGAAAGAAAUGAUGAAUGAACAAUGUAUUUGCUUUGUGAUGGCUCAACAAAGCUCGGCAAAAUGGAGGAGCCGGAUCUGGUUUUGUCUUUUAGUCUAAUUAAGUGUCAAUACUCUUUAGUGAAAGAAUUCACUAAACAAGAGCUCUGUAAGAACAAAUGCCCUUUAUUCUGGGACAUGUAUGGUUUUAUCUGAGUUGUUUUACGGCCACAUUUCUGAAUUUUAUUGUACAAAGUUGUUCAUUUUACAUAAUAUUUAAUUAAAGUAUUUCUUGUCUGUGACCAGUUUCUCCUUGAAAUCUUAUUUUGGUCUUUUUUCUCUCUAAAAACGACCAUGCAUUUAAAAUAAAAAAGGGGAAAAUCUAAAGGAAAAUCUAAGGGGAAAAUUAAAAUCUGAAAGGAAAAAUGUAAUUACAAAAAAUCCCCAAAAUCUACAAAUGUAAAAUUUUACACACUAAAACUACAAUAAUUUUAAAAUCUACCUACUUGCAGUUCUGUACAAGAUGCAUAUAAACUUACAUAUUCUGUAUAUAAAAAUAAAAAUAAAAUAAAAAUGCAUGCUCAUCAUGCUAGCAACAUGCUAGUAAAAUGCUGAUCAGGCUAGAAACAUACUAGUCACUCGUUAGUCAUGUUAGCACUAUGCUCGCUAAUCAUGCUAUUAACAUCCUAGUUUUUAAUCAUGCUAGUAACUUGUUAACCAUUCUAGUAACUUGUUAAUCAUCUUAGCAACAUGCUAGUUACUUGUUAAUCAUGCUAACAACAUGCUAAGCAUGCCAGCAAUAUUCUAGUAACAGGCCAGUCAUGUUAAAAGCAUGCUAAUCAUGCUAAAAACAUCAACAUCCAUCUAAUCGAUCUAAAUUUUCAAACAUCAGGCUUUUACAACUACUUUAAACUUGCCAACAUAAAGGCUCUCUUGACAAACUUUUUCUUGAUGCUGAUUGGUCGAUAUGUAUUUCUAGUCAUGCAAAAAUUUUGCUAUUUCAUAAUCUUGAGACAAACAUCUGAUUUCUUUGUUUAGCUGAUUAUGAAUGUCAGGACAAGGACAAAGAUGAAAAACACCAAUGAUUAACAAGAAAAAAAGUAAACCUGGAGUGCUGUCACAUCUGAUCGGUAUAAAUGGCUGCAGUUAUGAAGCAGAGCCUGCUAAGAUUGUGGCCAUGUCUCUUUCUCUGGCCUUGGCCUUGAUGUUGCAUUGGCUGAGACUCUUACGGCCAGGUGUUUUUGGGUGAGCUGAUGACACAAGGCUUUCAUCUUCCACUUCUGUGAAUUCCUAGAAGAAACGACAGUCUCCAGGGGAGGGAGGCCCUCCUGGUCAACGCAUUGAUCCCUGAAGAACAACUGCCAUUUCACGCCGGACACUCCAUAGGAAGCCAGCAGAUAUUUCUCUGCAAUUCAUCCAGACGGCCAACUGCAAAUGGAAAAAGUCUCGGUUCCAUCAACAUUUAACAAGACAUCAUUAGUUGAGUAGGUGCACCUCUUCAUCAACACAUGAUAUGAAUUACAACCUGCAGGACCACAUGGGGUUUGUCAGUCAUGCAUGCAUCAUUAGACGUAGCGCUUGCGGAGGGUGAACGCAGAGGACAGUGCAAUGCUAACCUUGUUGAAGGUCAUUAGUGAGCUGACUGUAGAACUGAGCUUCACUGUCUCUGUCUCAUCAGAAAGCUGCUCCAUAACUGAUUCAACUGGAUGCCUCGCUGAGCCCAGUGUUUGAAAUGUAAGUUGAGCAAUUACAGGCUAAAGGAGCCUACAGCAGCUAGCACUGGGAAUUGUGGCUUCUUUUAAACACGCUGGAUUUAACAGUCAAAUGAGCCUUUUCAACCGAUUUAGGAAGUGUUUGUACCUGUUGCUGGUAAAACUGGUAAAAUAGUUCAACUCUUCAUUAACAGUCAACAUGCUUAUGUCAAUUUAUUUCAGUAAUCUGACAUAUUUACAAGUAACUUGUUUCCAG
This is a long non-coding RNA of Carassius auratus (goldfish), 2159 nucleotides long. The record is from Ensembl. NCBI's taxonomy places the organism in Eukaryota, Metazoa, Chordata, Actinopteri, Cypriniformes, Cyprinidae.